This 484-nucleotide ribosomal RNA is filed under the name uncultured bacterium. RNAcentral's name for it is "partial 16S ribosomal RNA". It matches the Rfam family "Bacterial small subunit ribosomal RNA", at positions 30 to 507 of the family's 1533-position model. The record is from RNAcentral.
AUUGAACGCUGGCGGCAGGCCUAACACAUGCAAGUCGAGCGGAUGAAGGGAGCUUGCUCCUGGAUUCAGCGGCGGACGGGUGAGUAAUGCCUAGGAAUCUGCCUGGUAGUUGGGGAUAACGUCCGGAAACGGGCGCUAAUACCGCAUACGUCCUGAGGGAGAAAGUGGGGGAUCUUCGGACCUCACGCUAUCAGAUGAGCCUAGGUCGGAUUAGCUAGUUGGUGGGGUAAAGGCCUACCAAGGCGACGAUCCGUAACUGGUCUGAGAGGAUGAUCAGUCACACUGGAACUGAGACACGGUCCAGACUCCUACGGGAGGCAGCAGUGGGGAAUAUUGGACAAUGGGCGAAAGCCUGAUCCAGCCAUGCCGCGUGUGUGAAGAAGGUCUUCGGAUUGUAAAGCACUUUAAGUUGGGAGGAAGGGCAGCAAGUUAAUACCUUGCUGUUUUGACGUUACCAACAGAAUAAGCACCGGCUAACUUCGUG